Molecule: ribosomal RNA, 330 nt
Filed under: uncultured bacterium
Lineage: Bacteria
Description: bacterial SSU rRNA
Rfam family: Bacterial small subunit ribosomal RNA
Source: RNAcentral
AACGAACGCUGGCGGCGUGGAUAAGACAUGCAAGUCGAACGAGGUUACUCUUGGUAGCAAUACCGAGAGUGACUUAGUGGCGAACGGGUGCGUAACACGUGGGCAAUCUGCCUUAAAGUGGGGGAUAGCUCGGCGAAAGACCGAAUUAAUACCGCAUGUGAUCAGCCAAGACAUCUUGGCGACAUCAAAGCCGGGGCGAACCUGGCGCUUUUGUAGGAGCCCGCGGCCAUCAGCUAGUUGGUGAGGUAACGGCCCACCAAGGCUUUGACGGGUAGCUGGUCUGAGAGGACGACCAGUCACACUGGAACUGAGACACGGUCCAGACACCUA